UGACCUCGGAUCAGGUAGGGAUACCCGCUGAACUUAAGCAUAUCAAUAAGCGGAGGAAAAGAAACCAACAGGGAUUGCCCUAGUAACGGCGAGUGAAGCGGCAAGAGCUCAAAUUUGAAAUCUGGCCCUUUCAGGGUCCGAGUUGUAAUUUGUAGAGGGCGCUUUGGCGUCGGCUACGGCUAAGUUCCUUGGAACAGGACGUCACAGAGGGUGAGAACCCCGUACGUGGCCGCUGGCCUUCGCCGUGUAAAGCCCCUUCGACGAGUCGAGUUGUUUGGGAAUGCAGCUCUAAAUGGGAGGUAAAUUUCUUCUAAAGCUAAAUACUGGCCAGAGACCGAUAGCGCACAAGUAGAGUGAUCGAAAGAUGAAAAGCACUUUGGAAAGAGAGUCAAAAAGCACGUGAAAUUGUUGAAAGGGAAGCGCUUGCAGCCAGACUUGCCUGUAGUUGCUCAUCCGAGCUCCCGCUCGGUGCACUCUUCUGCGGGCAGGCCAGCAUCAGUCCGGGCGGUCGGAUAAAGGCCCUGGGAAUGUAGCUCC
RNAcentral lists this ribosomal RNA (537 nucleotides) under salal root associated fungus UBCTRA 1522.5. Its description in RNAcentral is "eukaryotic LSU rRNA". It matches the Rfam family "Eukaryotic large subunit ribosomal RNA", at positions 1 to 543 of the family's 3401-position model. Lineage: Eukaryota; Fungi; Ascomycota. The record is from RNAcentral.